RNAcentral lists this ribosomal RNA (769 nucleotides) under Streptococcus agalactiae. Its description in RNAcentral is "bacterial SSU rRNA". It matches the Rfam family "Bacterial small subunit ribosomal RNA", at positions 87 to 842 of the family's 1533-position model. The record is from RNAcentral. Lineage: Bacteria; Bacillati; Bacillota; Bacilli; Lactobacillales; Streptococcaceae.
ACUGAUGAGUUGCGAACGGGUGAGUAACGCGUAGGUAACCUGCCUCAUAGCGGGGGAUAACUAUUGGAAACGAUAGCUAAUACCGCAUAAGAGUGAUUAACACAUGUUAGUUAUUUAAAAGGAGCAAUUGCUUCACUGUGAGAUGGACCUGCGUUGUAUUAGCUAGUUGGUGAGGUAAAGGCUCACCAAGGCGACGAUACAUAGCCGACCUGAGAGGGUGAUCGGCCACACUGGGACUGAGACACGGCCCASACUCCUACGGGAGGCAGCAGUAGGGAAUCUUCGGCAAUGGACGGAAGUCUGACCGAGCAACGCCGCGUGAGUGAAGAAGGUUUUCGGAUCGUAAAGCUCUGUUGUUAGAGAAGAACGUUGGUAGGAGUGGAAAAUCUACCAAGUGRSGGURACUAACCAGAAAGGGACGGCUAACUACGUGCCAGCAGCCGCGGUAAUACGUAGGUCCCGAGCGUUGUCCGGAUUUAUUGGGCGUAAAGCGAGCGCAGGCGGUUCUUUAAGUCUGAAGUUAAAGGCAGUGGCUUAACCAUUGUACGCUUUGGAAACUGGAGGACUUGASUGCAGAAGGGGAGAGUGGAAUUCCAUGUGUAGCGGUGAAAAUGCGUAGAUAUAUGGAGGAACACCGGUGGCGAAAGCGGCUCUCUGGUCUGUAACUGACGCUGAGGCUCGAAAGCGUGGGGAGCAAACAGGAUUAGAUACCCUGGUAGUCCACGCCSUAAACGAUGAGUGCUAGGUGUUAGGCCCUUUCCGGGGCUUA